This is a long non-coding RNA of Carlito syrichta (Philippine tarsier), 338 nucleotides long. RefSeq lists it as uncharacterized. The transcript is spliced from 3 exons. The record is from RefSeq and is a predicted model, not a curated record. NCBI's taxonomy places the organism in Eukaryota, Metazoa, Chordata, Mammalia, Primates, Tarsiidae.
UCGCUCCCUGUGAGCAGCAGGGUCCUGGAUGAGUUCGAGCGGCGCGUCCAGGAGGCCGGCCUGGGGGAAGACCAGGUCUUAUUCUUUCCCAAGUACGGCUUCUGCGAGGCCGCGGACCAGUUCCACGUCCUGGACGAAGGAAGGAGGUGAGGCAGUGCCCGGUGCUGGACGUCCCGUGGAGACCACCCUGCUGGGGUGCCACCGCCUUCCUCCACGGUCACCGGGUCGGGCCCACCACCCUGGGGGUCGCUGGCCGGCUGCCCCGGGGAGCUGCCUGUCCACACAGAGCUCAGUGGGGGGACACAGGGGUUCUGAUUAAAGGCUUCAGACUCUGCUGA